CGGUAAUUCCAGCUCCAAUAGCGUAUACUAAAGUUGUUGCAGUUAAAAAGCUCGUAGUUGGAUUUCUGCGGGGACGGAGCGGCCGGACGCAACUUGCGUCUCGAGCUAGCGCUUUCCCCGCAUCCUGCCGCGAACCGUGCUACCAUUAGUUUGGUGGCGCUGGGGAUCGGCUCGAUUACUUUGAGAAAAAUAGAGUGUUCAAAGCAGGCCACACGCCUUGAAUAAGUUAGCAUGGAAUAAUGACUAAGGACUUCGGUUCUAUUUUGUUGGUGUUCGGGACUGAAGUAAUGAUUGAUAGGGACAGUUGGGGCGGUCUGUAUUCCAAAGCGAGAGGUGAAAUUCUUAGACCUUCGGAAGACAAACGGCUGCGAAAGCGUUCCGCAAGGAUGUUCCCUUUGAUCAAGAACGAAAGUUGGGGGAUCGAAGACGAUCAGAUACCGUCGUAGUCUCAACUAUAAACUAUACCAGCUAGGGAUCGGUCAACGUUUAAUUAUUCGACUUGAUCGGCACCUUAUGAGAAAUCAAAGCAUCUGGGUUCCGGGGGGAGUAUGGUCGCAAGGCUGAAACUUAAAGGAAUUGACGGAAGGGCACCACCAGCCGUGGAGCCUGUGGCUUAAUUUGACUCAACACGGGAAAACUUACCAGGUCCAGACAUAGUAAGGAUUGACAGAUUGAUAGCUCUUUCUUGAUUCUGUGGGUGGUGGUGCAUGGCCGUUCUUAGUUGGUGGAGUGAUUUGUCUGGUUAAUUCCGUUAACGAACGAGACCCCAGCCUGCUAAAUAGCGCGGCUGAGCUUUGCUCGGUGCGAGCUUCUUAGAGGGACUAUGAUGCGCGAUAGCACAUGGAAGUUUGGGGCAAUAACAGGUCUGUGAUGCCCUUAGAUGUUCUGGGCCGCACACGGGCUACACUGGCGCCUGCAACGAGCAUAUCAGCUGGCCCGAGAGGGUCUUGGCUAAUCUUUUGAACCGGCGCCGUGCUUGGGAUUGACCUUUGCAAUUGUUGGUCAUGCAACGAGGAAUGCCUUGUAAACGCGAGUCAUCAGCUCGCAUUGAAUACGUCCCUGCCCUUUGUACACACCGCCCGUCGCUCCUACCGAUGAAUGUUCCGAUGAAAUUUUCGGAGAGCGCCAGAGAACGGGGCUCUGCCUUGCAGAUCUGGAGGCUCAAAGUCACUUAAAUCUGAACAUUUCGAGGAAGGAGAAGUCGUAACAAGGUAGCCG
This 1218-nucleotide ribosomal RNA is filed under the name uncultured Rhizaria. Its description in RNAcentral is "SSU rRNA". It matches the Rfam family "Eukaryotic small subunit ribosomal RNA", at positions 577 to 1805 of the family's 1831-position model. The record is from RNAcentral.